RNAcentral lists this ribosomal RNA (2902 nucleotides) under Escherichia coli. Its description in RNAcentral is "bacterial LSU rRNA". It matches the Rfam family "Bacterial large subunit ribosomal RNA". The record is from RNAcentral. Lineage: Bacteria; Pseudomonadati; Pseudomonadota; Gammaproteobacteria; Enterobacterales; Enterobacteriaceae.
UUAAGCGACUAAGCGUACACGGUGGAUGCCCUGGCAGUCAGAGGCGAUGAAGGACGUGCUAAUCUGCGAUAAGCGUCGGUGAGGUGAUAUGAACCGUUAUAACCGGCGAUUUCCGAAUGGGGAAACCCAGUGUGUUUCGACACACUAUCAUUAACUGAAUCCAUAGGUUAAUGAGGCGAACCGGGGGAACUGAAACAUCUAAGUACCCCGAGGAAAAGAAAUCAACCGAGAUUCCCCCAGUAGCGGCGAGCGAACGGGGAGGAGCCCAGAGCCUGAAUCAGUGUGUGUGUUAGUGGAAGCGUCUGGAAAGGCGUGCGAUACAGGGUGACAGCCCCGUACACAAAAAUGCACAUAUUGUGAGCUCGAUGAGUAGGACGGGACACGUGGUAUCCUGUCUGAAUAUGGGGGGACCAUCCUCCAAGGCUAAAUACUCCUGACUGACCGAUAGUGAACCAGUACCGUGAGGGAAAGGCGAAAAGAACCCCGGCGAGGGGAGUGAAAAAGAACCUGAAACCGUGUACGUACAAGCAGUGGGAGCCUCUUAAUGGGGUGACUGCGUACCUUUUGUAUAAUGGGUCAGCGACUUAUAUUCUGUAGCAAGGUUAACCGAAUAGGGGAGCCGAAGGGAAACCGAGUCUUAACUGGGCGUUAAGUUGCAGGGUAUAGACCCGAAACCCGGUGAUCUAGCCAUGGGCAGGUUGAAGGUUGGGUAACACUAACUGGAGGACCGAACCGACUAAUGUUGAAAAAUUAGCGGAUGACUUGUGGCUGGGGGUGAAAGGCCAAUCAAACCGGGAGAUAGCUGGUUCUCCCCGAAAGCUAUUUAGGUAGCGCCUCGUGAAUUCAUCUCCGGGGGUAGAGCACUGUUUCGGCAAGGGGGUCAUCCCGACUUACCAACCCGAUGCAAACUGCGAAUACCGGAGAAUGUUAUCACGGGAGACACACGGCGGGUGCUAACGUCCGUCGUGAAGAGGGAAACAACCCAGACCGCCAGCUAAGGUCCCAAAGUCAUGGUUAAGUGGGAAACGAUGUGGGAAGGCCCAGACAGCCAGGAUGUUGGCUUAGAAGCAGCCAUCAUUUAAAGAAAGCGUAAUAGCUCACUGGUCGAGUCGGCCUGCGCGGAAGAUGUAACGGGGCUAAACCAUGCACCGAAGCUGCGGCAGCGACACUAUGUGUUGUUGGGUAGGGGAGCGUUCUGUAAGCCUGUGAAGGUGGCCUGUGAGGGUUGCUGGAGGUAUCAGAAGUGCGAAUGCUGACAUAAGUAACGAUAAAGCGGGUGAAAAGCCCGCUCGCCGGAAGACCAAGGGUUCCUGUCCAACGUUAAUCGGGGCAGGGUGAGUCGACCCCUAAGGCGAGGCCGAAAGGCGUAGUCGAUGGGAAACAGGUUAAUAUUCCUGUACUUGGUGUUACUGCGAAGGGGGGACGGAGAAGGCUAUGUUGGCCGGGCGACGGUUGUCCCGGUUUAAGCGUGUAGGCUGGUUUUCCAGGCAAAUCCGGAAAACCAAGGCUGAGGCGUGAUGACGAGGCACUACGGUGCUGAAGCGACAAAUGCCCUGCUUCCAGGAAAAGCCUCUAAGCAUCAGGUAACAUCAAAUCGUACCCCAAACCGACACAGGUGGUCAGGUAGAGAAUACCAAGGCGCUUGAGAGAACUCGGGUGAAGGAACUAGGCAAAAUGGUGCCGUAACUUCGGGAGAAGGCACGCUGAUAUGUAGGUGAAGCGACUUGCUCGUGGAGCUGAAAUCAGUCGAAGAUACCAGCUGGCUGCAACUGUUUAUUAAAAACACAGCACUGUGCAAACACGAAAGUGGACGUAUACGGUGUGACGCCUGCCCGGUGCCGGAAGGUUAAUUGAUGGGGUUAGCGGCAACGCGAAGCUCUUGAUCGAAGCCCCGGUAAACGGCGGCCGUAACUAUAACGGUCCUAAGGUAGCGAAAUUCCUUGUCGGGUAAGUUCCGACCUGCACGAAUGGCGUAAUGAUGGCCAGGCUGUCUCCACCCGAGACUCAGUGAAAUUGAACUCGCUGUGAAGAUGCAGUGUACCCGCGGCAAGACGGAAAGACCCCGUGAACCUUUACUAUAGCUUGACACUGAACAUUGAGCCUUGAUGUGUAGGAUAGGUGGGAGGCUUUGAAGUGUGGACGCCAGUCUGCAUGGAGCCGACCUUGAAAUACCACCCUUUAAUGUUUGAUGUUCUAACGUUGGCCCGUAAUCCGGGUUGCGGACAGUGUCUGGUGGGUAGUUUGACUGGGGCGGUCUCCUCCUAAAGAGUAACGGAGGAGCACGAAGGUUGGCUAAUCCUGGUCGGAUAUCAGGAGGUUAGUGCAAUGGCAUAAGCCAGCUUGACUGCGAGCGUGACGGCGCGAGCAGGUGCGAAAGCAGGUCAUAGUGAUCCGGUGGUUCUGAAUGGAAGGGCCAUCGCUCAACGGAUAAAAGGUACUCCGGGGAUAACAGGCUGAUACCGCCCAAGAGUUCAUAUCGACGGCGGUGUUUGGCACCUCGAUGUCGGCUCAUCACAUCCUGGGGCUGAAGUAGGUCCCAAGGGUAUGGCUGUUCGCCAUUUAAAGUGGUACGCGAGCUGGGUUUAGAACGUCGUGAGACAGUUCGGUCCCUAUCUGCCGUGGGCGCUGGAGAACUGAGGGGGGCUGCUCCUAGUACGAGAGGACCGGAGUGGACGCAUCACUGGUGUUCGGGUUGUCAUGCCAAUGGCACUGCCCGGUAGCUAAAUGCGGAAGAGAUAAGUGCUGAAAGCAUCUAAGCACGAAACUUGCCCCGAGAUGAGUUCUCCCUGACUCCUUGAGAGUCCUGAAGGAACGUUGAAGACGACGACGUUGAUAGGCCGGGUGUGUAAGCGCAGCGAUGCGUUGAGCUAACCGGUACUAAUGAACCGUGAGGCUUAACCUU